Molecule: small nuclear RNA, 161 nt
Filed under: Suricata suricatta (meerkat)
Lineage: Eukaryota; Metazoa; Chordata; Mammalia; Carnivora; Herpestidae
Description: U2 spliceosomal RNA (ENSSSUG00005020506.1)
Rfam family: U2 spliceosomal RNA
About the family: U2 is a small nuclear RNA (snRNA) component of the spliceosome (involved in pre-mRNA splicing). Complementary binding between U2 snRNA (in an area lying towards the 5' end but 3' to hairpin I) and the branchpoint sequence (BPS) of the intron results the bulging out of an unpaired adenosine, on the BPS, which initiates a nucleophilic attack at the intronic 5' splice site, thus starting the first of two transesterification reactions that mediate splicing.
Source: Rfam by way of RNAcentral
AUCGCUUCUCGGCCUUUUGGCUAAGAUCAAGUGUAAAAUGCUUCUUCAUUAUCUUUAUGGGAGAAAAAUAUUGAUAUAAAACUUACAGACCUGGGAUCAUUUGAACCUCAUUUUAAAAUUAGAUUGUAAUUUAUACUUUUUUUUAACUCUCAUUAUCCAAU